RNAcentral lists this ribosomal RNA (746 nucleotides) under uncultured cyanobacterium. Its description in RNAcentral is "bacterial SSU rRNA". It matches the Rfam family "Bacterial small subunit ribosomal RNA", at positions 8 to 796 of the family's 1533-position model. The record is from RNAcentral. Lineage: Bacteria; Bacillati; Cyanobacteriota.
AGAGUUUGAUCCUGGCUCAGGAUGAACGCUGGCGGUAUGCUUAACACAUGCAAGUCGAACGGAAUCCUUAGGGAUUUAGUGGCGGACGGGUGAGUAACGCGUGAGAAUCUGCCUUUUGGUCGGGGACAACCACUGGAAACGGUGGCUAAUACCGGAUAUGCCUAACGGUGAAAGAUUAAUUGCCAGAAGAGGAGCUCGCGUCUGAUUAGCUAGUUGGUGAGGUAAGAGCUCACCAAGGCAUCGAUCAGUAGCUGGUCUGAGAGGAUGAUCAGCCACACUGGGACUGAGACACGGCCCAGACUCCUACGGGAGGCAGCAGUGGGGAAUUUUCCGCAAUGGGCGAAAGCCUGACGGAGCAAUACCGCGUGAGGGAGGAAGGCUCUUGGGUUGUAAACCUCUUUUCUCAGGGAAGAACAAAAUGACGGUACCUGAGGAAUAAGCAUCGGCUAACUCCGUGCCAGCAGCCGCGGUAAUACGGAGGAUGCAAGCGUUAUCCGGAAUUAUUGGGCGUAAAGCGUCCGCAGGUGGCAAUUCAAGUCUGCUGUUAAAGGUCAGGGCUCAACCCUGAACAGGCAGUGGAAACUGAAUAGCUAGAGUGCGGUAGGGGCAGAGGGAAUUCCCAGUGUAGCGGUGAAAUGCGUAGAGAUUGGGAAGAACACCGGUGGCGAAAGCGCUCUGCUAGGCCGUAACUGACACUCAUGGACGAAAGCUAGGGGAGCGAAUGGGAUUAGAUACCCCCGUAGUCC